GACGAACGCUGGCGGCGUGCCUAAUACAUGCAAGUCGAACGCUGAAGGAGGAGCUUGCUUCUCUGGAUGAGUUGCGAACGGGUGAGUAACGCGUAGGUAACCUGCCUGGUAGCGGGGGAUAACUAUUGGAAACGAUAGCUAAUACCGCAUAAGAGUAGCUGUUGCAUGACAUUUGCUUAAAAGGUGCAAUUGCAUCACUACCAGAUGGACCUGCGUUGUUUUGGCUAGUUGGUGGGGUAACGGCGCACCAAGGCGACGAUACAUAGCCGAACUGAGAGGGUGGGCAGCCGGCCUGGGAGGGAGACAGGGCCCAGAGUGCUAGGGGAGGGGGCAGUAGGGAAUCGUGGGGAAGGGGCGGAAGUCUGACCGAGCAAGGCCGCGGGCGGGAAGAAGGGUGUCGGGUGGGGAAGGUCUGUUGUAGGGGAAGAAAGAGUGUGAGCGUGGAAAGAUCAGAGUGUGACGGUAACGGAUCAGGAAGGGACGGCUAACUACGUG
RNAcentral lists this ribosomal RNA (495 nucleotides) under uncultured bacterium. RNAcentral's name for it is "partial 16S ribosomal RNA". It matches the Rfam family "Bacterial small subunit ribosomal RNA", at positions 28 to 507 of the family's 1533-position model. The record is from RNAcentral.